RNAcentral lists this ribosomal RNA (406 nucleotides) under uncultured bacterium. RNAcentral's name for it is "partial 16S ribosomal RNA". It matches the Rfam family "Bacterial small subunit ribosomal RNA", at positions 30 to 526 of the family's 1533-position model. The record is from RNAcentral.
AUUGAACGCUGGCGGCAGGCCUAACACAUGCAAGUCGAACGAGUGGCGGACGGGUGAGUAAUGUCUGGGAAACUGCCUGAUGGAGGGGGAUAACUACUGGAAACGGUAGCUAAUACCGCAUACCAUCGGAUGUGCCCAGAUGGGAUUAGCUAGUAGGUGGGGUAAAGGCUCACCUAGUCGACGAUCCCUAGCUGGGCUGAGAGGAUGACCAGCAACACUGGAACGGAGACACGGUCCGUACUCCUAGGGGAGGCAGCGUUGGGGAAUAUUGGACAAUGGGCGCAAGCCUGAUGCGGCCAGGCCGCGUGUAUGAAGAAGGCUUUCGGGUUGUAAAGUACUUUCAGCGGGGAGGCGUUACCCGCAGAAGAAGCACCGGCUAACUCCGUGCCAGCAGCCGCGGUAAUAC